RNAcentral lists this transfer RNA (71 nucleotides) under Caudoviricetes sp. RNAcentral describes it as "tRNA-Met". It matches the Rfam family "tRNA". Rfam says of the family: Transfer RNA (tRNA) molecules are approximately 80 nucleotides in length. Their secondary structure includes four short double-helical elements and three loops (D, anti-codon, and T loops). The record is from RNAcentral. Lineage: Duplodnaviria; Heunggongvirae; Uroviricota; Caudoviricetes.
GCGAUUGUAGAGAAACGGUAUCUCGCUAGUCUCAUAAACUAGAGUAAGUUAGUUCAAUUCUAACCAUCGCA